GACGAACGCUGGCGGCGUGCUUAACACAUGCAAGUCGAACGGAAAGGCCCUGCUUUUGUGGGGUGCUCGAGUGGCGAACGGGUGAGUAACACGUGAGUAACCUGCCCUUGACUUUGGGAUAACUUCAGGAAACUGGGGCUAAUACCGGAUAGGAGCUCCUGCUGCAUGGUGGGGGUUGGAAAGUUUCGGCGGUUGGGGAUGGACUGGCGGCUUAUCAGCUUGUUGGUGGGGUAGUGGCUUACCAAGGCGUUGACGGGUAGCCGGCCUGAGAGGGUGACCGGACACAUUGGGACUGAGAGACGGACCAGACUCCUACGGGAGGCAGCAGUGGGGAAUAGUGCACAAUGGGCGGAAGCCUGAUGCAGCAACGCCGCGUGCGGGAUGACGGCCUUCGGGUUGUAAACCGCUUUCGCCUGUGACGAAGCGUGAGUGACGGUAAUGGGUAAAGAAGCACCGGCUAACUACGUG
Molecule: ribosomal RNA, 468 nt
Filed under: uncultured bacterium
Lineage: Bacteria
Description: partial 16S ribosomal RNA
Rfam family: Bacterial small subunit ribosomal RNA
Source: RNAcentral